RNAcentral lists this non-coding RNA (36 nucleotides) under unclassified sequences. RNAcentral's name for it is "abiF RNA". It matches the Rfam family "abiF RNA". The record is from Rfam by way of RNAcentral.
CCAGUCACGCCUCUCAACGAUGCGAACCCGACUGGU